Molecule: long non-coding RNA, 336 nt
Organism: Hypomesus transpacificus
Lineage: Eukaryota; Metazoa; Chordata; Actinopteri; Osmeriformes; Osmeridae
Exons: 3
Source: RefSeq, a predicted model, not a curated record
AAUUUGAGCUUCAGUACCAGCACACUCGUCAGAAAUAUGAAGUCACUGUGUUGAGAAAUCGAGUGAGCGACCAUCAAAAGAACACCAAGGGCAGCAGAAGCAAGAGAGGUUUGAGGAAGUAGGCAUGUUCAUCCUGGGCCUGGGCCUGUGGCUGUGGCUGGACAGAUCGCCUCUCUCCAGAAGACCUCUCAGCUGCAGCAUCUUCACCAGACAUGUACCUGACUGACAAAUGGAAUGUUUUUCUGAGGGAAUAUUAAGGAAGUACUUAAGCCUUAGACUUGGUUUGUUACUUAAAAAAAACAUUUAUGUUUGUUAUUAAAAUAAUUGAUAAAAGUA